Molecule: ribosomal RNA, 164 nt
Filed under: Musa cheesmanii
Lineage: Eukaryota; Viridiplantae; Streptophyta; Magnoliopsida; Zingiberales; Musaceae
Description: 5.8S ribosomal RNA
Rfam family: 5.8S ribosomal RNA
About the family: 5.8S ribosomal RNA (5.8S rRNA) is a component of the large subunit of the eukaryotic ribosome. It is transcribed by RNA polymerase I as part of the 45S precursor that also contains 18S and 28S rRNA. Functionally, it is thought that 5.8S rRNA may be involved in ribosome translocation.
Source: RNAcentral
UGGACGACUCUCGGCAACGGAUAUCUCGGCUCUCGCAUCGAUGAAGAACGUAGCGAAAUGCGAUACCUGGUGUGAAUUGCAGAAUCCCGUGAACCAUCGAGUCUUUGAACGCAAGUUGCGCCCGAGGCCAUCUGGCUAAGGGCACGCCUGCCUGGGCGUCACGC